CGCUCCAGGUCCCGAGGAAGAAGGUAUUCUCGCUCACGCAGUCGAAGCCGUGGUAGGAGGUCAAGGUCAGCUUCCUACCGCAGGUCCAGGUCAAUCUCUCCUCGUAGGUAUAGAUCAUUUUCACCUCGCAGAUCACGGUCUGGCUCUUUAAGGAGAUCAAGAUCUAGGUCCAGAUCACGCUCAAGGUCUCGGUCUGUUGUAUGGCCUCGAAGCAGGUCUGGGUCCCAUGGUAGAUCUAAAUCUGGCUUACCUGCUAAAAGUCGCUCAAAGUCCAGAUCACCAUCUCCAAAGAGAAGUCAUUCACCAUCAGGAAGCCCUUGAAGGAGGAAUGCAUGUCCUGAAAAAGUGGAUUCCAGUUAAAAGGUUAAAGUUUAAGAAGAAGAUUUAUUUUGUUUACAUUAUUAUAAGGGAUUUUGUGGUGUCUUUAUAAACGCAAGGGCUUAGUCCUAGAAGGUUGUUUCUAUUGCCUAACAGCAGGCAUGAAUUUGGAUCUUUUAAAAGUAGACUAAUGCAAAACUCCUUUGUUGUGUUAAUGUUCAGUGAUCUGGAAAUAUAGGGCUUUUUGUAUUUGGUGCAUUGGAAUAAACAGUGCAUUUCUAACUAAGA
This is a long non-coding RNA of Centrocercus urophasianus (Greater sage-grouse), 606 nucleotides long. RefSeq lists it as uncharacterized. The transcript has 6 exons. The record is from RefSeq and is a predicted model, not a curated record. Lineage: Eukaryota; Metazoa; Chordata; Aves; Galliformes; Phasianidae.